GACGAACGCUGGCGGCGUGCUUAACACAUGCAAGUCGUACGGUAAGGCCCUUUCUGGGGUACACGAGUGGCGAACGGGGGAGUAACACGUGAGUAACCUGCCCACAACUUUGGGAUAACGCUAGUAAACUGGUGCUAAUACGGGAUAUGUGCUACUGCUGCAUGGUGGGGGUUGGAAAGCUCCGGCGGUUGUGGAUGGACUCGCGGCCUAUCAGCUUGUUGGUGGGGUAGUGGCCUACCAAGGCGGCGACGGGUAGCCGGCCUGAGAGGGUGACCGGCCACAUUGGGACUGAGAUACGGCCCAGACUCCUACGGGAGGCAGCAGUGGGGAAUAUUGCACAAUGGGCGCAAGCCUGAUGCAGCACCGCCGCGUGCGGGAUGACGGCCUUCGGGUUGUAAACCGCUUUCAGCAGGGACGAAGCUUUUUGUGACGGUACCUGCAGAAGAAGCACCGGCUAACUACGUG
Molecule: ribosomal RNA, 465 nt
Filed under: uncultured bacterium
Lineage: Bacteria
Description: partial 16S ribosomal RNA
Rfam family: Bacterial small subunit ribosomal RNA
Source: RNAcentral